CGUCUAUAUACGUAUAGCAUACAAUAAGCGGAGGAAAAGAAACUAACAAGGAUUCCCCUAGUAACGGCGAGUGAAGCGGGAAGAGCUCAAAUUUGAAAUCUUCAAGGUUCUACCUUGACGAAUUGUAGUUUAUAGAAGUGUUUUCUGUUAGUAGAGUGGCAAAAGUUCUUUGGAAUAGGACAUCAUAGAGGGUGAGAAUCCCGUAUUUGAUCCAUUAUUUCCUAGCUUUGUGAUACACUUUCAAAGAGUCGGAUUGUUUGGGAAUGCAGUCCAAAAUGGGUGGUAAAUUUCAUCUAAAGCUAAAUACUGGCGAGAGACCGAUAGCGAACAAGUACCGUGAGGGAAAGAUGAAAAGAACUUUGAAAAGAGAGUUAAACAGUACGUGAAAUUGUCAAAAGGGAAGCGUUUGACACCAGUGUUGUUUUUCCGAAAAUCAAUUAUGAAUGGCCUGAUUUUAAGUUUCAUGACCUUAAAAGCUUGUUGCUUAUUUUUCUUGUCUUUCUUAAUGCACUUUUCGGUUAACAAGUCAACAUCAAUUUCUUUUGUUGUAAAAGGUUAAGAGGAAGGUGGCUUUACUUUCGGGUAAAGUGUUUAUAGCCUUUUAACUCUGCAAUCGGAGAGAUUGAGGUCUGCAGCGUAGAUCCUUCGGGGCUAGAUACGUUUGUGCUAAGUUAUAGCUUUUCAUAGACAACUUGUUGACUAUGUUUAGUCUUGUAGCUUACUCGCAUGCGCUAUUUUACCUACGCUUAGGAUGUUGACACACGCGCGUGCUCG
RNAcentral lists this ribosomal RNA (774 nucleotides) under uncultured Neocallimastigales. Its description in RNAcentral is "partial large subunit ribosomal RNA". It matches the Rfam family "Eukaryotic large subunit ribosomal RNA", at positions 26 to 643 of the family's 3401-position model. The record is from RNAcentral. Lineage: Eukaryota; Fungi; Neocallimastigomycota; Neocallimastigomycetes; Neocallimastigales.